This 1094-nucleotide long non-coding RNA is filed under the name Homo sapiens (human). RNAcentral's name for it is "HSALNT0171152". Lineage: Eukaryota; Metazoa; Chordata; Mammalia; Primates; Hominidae. The record is from RNAcentral.
CACAGGGUAGCUAGGGUCACCCGCUGACCUCCCAGGCCACAGUAGGCCCAGGCAGCCCCUAGGUUCUCGUCUGCCCACUAGGCUGGGUGCCCAGCGGAGCCACCCUGUCCUCAGGGGUGCUGCAGAAGAGGCUCUGUGUCAGGACCCCCAAGGACCUGGAGCCACAACGACCUUGUCACCAGGGCCCGUGGGCCCUUCUGGGUGAGCAGCAGGGGACCUUCCUUCUGCCCCGCCCCCGCCCCACAGGUCCCCAGCAGCGGCACCUUUCUGCGUGUGUGUGACCGAUUCGUUCACGUCGACUCCUCCCCUGGACAGAGGCUUCUGGAAAACUAAAGUUGGCCCCUUGGUUCCCCCCUUGCCAGGCAGGGCUGGCCCUCAGAGCCUGGUGGAUGAACAGACCAGGAGGGAAGUUUGGGAACACCCGGCUCAGAGAUGAGAAGAGAGGGUGGAUCAGCCGCCACAUGGCAAAGCCAUGGGCCAGCUCUCCCUGCCACGGCCAGUGGACCCGGGACUUGGGUUCUCCAGCAUGGGCCCAGGCGGCUCGGAGCAGGGGCUGCUUCCCUCCGGCCCUUUCCCCGAAGCCCGCUCCCUUCUCCACCCCCGUCCCUGCCCACUCCCCGCAGGCCGGGGUGCACUUGGAGCCCCGAGGACCUCCGAGGCUGUCGCCACCCUCCUCUGUUCUGACUGCUUUCUAUUACUGGGCUUGUAAAAUGAUUAUUGUUUUGCUGUGGUAAGAUGUACAUAAUAUAAGAUUUACCUGUUUUUUUUGUUUGUUUGUUUGUUUUCGUUUUUGAUUUUUUUUUUUUGAGGCAGGGUUUCAGUCUGUCCCCCAGGCUGCAGUGCAGUGGCACAAUUUUGGCUUACUGCAGCCUCGAACACCUGGGUUCAAGCAAUCCCCCCACCUCAGCCCCCCAAGUAGCUGGGACUAUAAGCAGGUGCCACCACAUCCGGCUUUUUUGUAGAGAUGAGGUUUCUCUGUGUUGCCCAUGCUGGUCUUGAACCCUGGCACUCAAGUGACCCUCACACCUCCCAGCACCUCAGCCUCCUAGAGUGCUAGGCUUGCAGGCGUGAGCCACUGCGCCUGGCUAAAUUUU